UUAUUGGGCGUAAAGCGAGCGCAGGCGGUUUUUUAAGUCUGAUGUGAAAGCCUUCGGCUCAACCGUAAGAAGUGCAUCGGUAAACUGGGAAACUUGAGUGCAGAAGAGGACAGUGGAACUCCAUGUGUAGCGGUGAAAUGCGUAGAUAUAUGGAAGAACACCAGUGGCGAAGGCGGCUGUCUGGUCUGUAACUGACGCUGAGGCUCGAAAGUAUGGGUAGCAAACAGGAUUAGAUACCCUGGUAGUCCAUACCGUAAACGAUGAAUGCUAAGUGUUGGAGGGUUUCCGCCCUUCAGUGCUGCAGCUAACGCAUUAAGCAUUCCGCCUGGGGAGUACGGCCGCAAGGCUGAAACUCAAAGGAAUUGACGGGGGCCCGCACAAGCGGUGGAGCAUGUGGUUUAAUUCGAAGCUACGCGAAGAACCUUACCAGGUCUUGACAUACUAUGCAAAUCUAAGAGAUUAGACGUUCCCUUCGGGGACAUGGAUACAGGUGGUGCAUGGUUGUCGUCAGCUCGUGUCGUGAGAUGUUGGGUUAAGUCCCGCAACGAGCGCAACCCUUAUUAUCAGUUGCCAGCAUUAAGUUGGGCACUCUGGUGAGACUGCC
Molecule: ribosomal RNA, 604 nt
Filed under: Lactobacillus sp. CL5
Lineage: Bacteria; Bacillati; Bacillota; Bacilli; Lactobacillales; Lactobacillaceae
Description: bacterial SSU rRNA
Rfam family: Bacterial small subunit ribosomal RNA
Source: RNAcentral